CCCUUAGAUGCUCUGGUCCGCACGCGCGCUACACUGGUCGAUGCAACGAGUUUCUUUCCUUGGCCGACAGGCCUGGGCAAUCUUUGAACAUCGAUCGUGAUCGGGAUAGAUUCUUGUAAUUUUUGAUCUUAAACGAGGAAUUCCUAGUAAACGCAAGUCAUCAGCUUGCAUUGAUUACGUCCCUGCCCUUUGUACACACCGCCCGUCGCACCUACCGAUUGAAUGGUCCGGUGAAAUCUCCGGACUGGCGUGAGUCGGAGCAAUCUGACAAACACCGGAAAGUUGAUUAAACCUUACCAUUUAGAGGAAGGUGAAGUCGUAACA
This 324-nucleotide ribosomal RNA is filed under the name uncultured eukaryote. RNAcentral describes it as "partial 18S ribosomal RNA". It matches the Rfam family "Eukaryotic small subunit ribosomal RNA", at positions 1470 to 1796 of the family's 1831-position model. The record is from RNAcentral.